CACGCCGUAAACGAUGUCAAUUAGGAGCUUGGACUUAAGUCUGGGUUCCGUAGCAAACGCAAUAAAUUGACCGCCUGGGGAGUACGGCCGCAAGGUUAAAACUCAAAUGAAUUGACGGGGGCCCGCACAAGCGGUGGAGCAUGUGGUUUAAUUCGACGCAACGCGAAGAACCUUACCUGACCUUGACAUAGUGAGAACCUCUCUGAAGGGAGAGGGUGCCUUCGGGAAUUCACAUACAGGUGC
RNAcentral lists this ribosomal RNA (243 nucleotides) under uncultured Succinivibrio sp. RNAcentral describes it as "partial 16S ribosomal RNA". It matches the Rfam family "Bacterial small subunit ribosomal RNA", at positions 796 to 1041 of the family's 1533-position model. Lineage: Bacteria; Pseudomonadati; Pseudomonadota; Gammaproteobacteria; Aeromonadales; Succinivibrionaceae. The record is from RNAcentral.